RNAcentral lists this ribosomal RNA (2877 nucleotides) under gut metagenome. RNAcentral describes it as "bacterial LSU rRNA". It matches the Rfam family "Bacterial large subunit ribosomal RNA". The record is from RNAcentral.
AAAAGGGCGCAUGGCGGAUGCCUUGGCUCUCGGAGGCGAUGAAGGACGUGAUAAGCUGCGAUAAGCUUUGGGGAGGUGCAAAUGACCUUUGAUCCAGAGAUUUCCGAAUGGGACAACCCAAUAUCUUGAAGAGGUAUUAUCCAACGUUGUUGGAGGCUAACGCAGGGAACUGAAACAUCUUAGUACCUGCAGGAAAAGAAAAUAAACAAUGAUUCCCUCAGUAGUGGCGAGCGAACGGGGAACAGCCCAAACCAUCCAUGUUACGGCAUGGGUGGGGUUGUAGGACUACGCCGUUGCAUGAAGACAUCAGAGAAGAACUUUCUGGAAAGAAAGACCAUAGAGCAUGACAGUUGCGUAUUCGAAUGUUGUCGAAGCAUAGUAGUAUCCUGAGUAGCGCGGAGCACGAGGAAUUCUGCGUGAAUCUGCCGGGACCAUCCGGUAAGGCUAAAUACUCCCGAGAGACCGAUAGCGAACCAGUACCGUGAGGGAAAGGUGAAAAGCACUUCGAACAGAAGAGUGAAAUAGUUCCUGAAACCGUGCGCCUACAAGCGGUCGGAGCUCGUUAAUGAGUGACGGCGUGCCUUUUGCAUAAUGAACCUACGAGUUGCCUUUGCCGGCAAGGUUAAGUGUGACGACACACGUAUCCGAAGCGAAAGCGAGUCUGAACAGGGCGUAUAGUCGGCAGUGGCAGACGCGAAACCAAGUGAUCUACCCUUGGCCAGGUUGAAGGCUGGGUAACACCAGCUGGAGGACCGCACCAAUAAGCGUUGAAAAGCUUCUGGAUGAGCUGAGGGUAGGGGUGAAAGGCUAAUCAAACUUGGAGAUAGCUCGUACUCCCCGAAAUGCAUUUAGGUGCAGCCUUGCGGGUUACUGAUGUGAGGUAGAGCGACUGAUAAGAUGCGAGGGCUUCACCGCCUAUCAAGUCUUGACAAACUCCGAAUGCGCAUCAGUUCUACCGCAGGAGUGAGGGCAUGGGUGCUAAGGUCCGUGCCCGAGAGGAGAAGAAUCCGGACCACCUGCUAAGGUCCCGAAAUGACAGCUAAGUUAAACUAACGAAGUCUGACUGCUAAGACAGCUAGGAUGUUGGCUUGGAAGCAGCCAUUCAUUUAAAGAGUGCGUAACAGCUCACUAGUCGAGGAGUCGGGCGUGGAUAAUAAUCGGGUAUCAAGUUGUCUACCGAAGCAGUGGGAUCAUUUAUAUGAUCGGUAGGGGAGCAUUCCAGUCGGCGUCGAAGGCGUACCGUGAGGUAUUCUGGAGCGUCUGGAAAAGCAAAUGUAGGUAUAAGUAACGAUAAAGGGGGCGGGAAACCCCCUCGCCGAAAGACUAAGGUUUCCUGAUCAACGCUAAUCGGAUCAGGGUCAGUCGGGUCCUAAGGCUCAGCCGAACGGCGAUGCCGAUGGCAGAAACGGUUAAUAUUCCGUUACUACCUUCAGGAGUGACGUGGAGACGCAGUAGUGACAGUGCCGCCAUCUGACGGAAUAGAUGGUUGAAGGGUGUAGGAGUCGAUCAUGGCAGGCAAAUCCACCAUGAGAUCCGAACCUGACAGUAUGCCGCGUCCUUCGGGACAAGGCAAUAGUGCGCGUAAGCAUGCUGCCGAGAAAAUCCGCUAAACUUAAUCCUGCAGGUACCCGUACCGCAAACGGACACACGUAGUCGGGAUGAAUAUUCUAAGGCGCUUGAGUGAUUCACGGUUAAGGAACUAGGCAAACUGACCCUGUAACUUCGGGAUAAAGGGUCCCUACCCUUUUAUGGGAGGGCGCAGAGAAUCGGUCCAGGCAACUGUUUAACAAAAACACAGGGCUGUGCCAAAUCGAAAGAUCCAGUAUACAGCCUGACACCUGCCCGGUGCUGGAAGGUUAAGAGGAGAUGUCAUCGAUAAGAGAAGCGUUGAAUUGAAGCCCCAGUAAACGGCGGCCGUAACUAUAACGGUCCUAAGGUAGCGAAAUUCCUUGUCGGGUAAGUUCCGACCUGCACGAAUGGUGUAAUGAUCUGGACGCUGUCUCAACCGUGAGCUCAGUGAAAUUGUAGUAUCGGUGAAGAUGCCGAUUACCCGCGAUGGGACGAAAAGACCCCGUGAACCUUUACUAUAGCUUAUCAUUGAAUCUGGGCACGUGAUGUGUAGGAUAGGUCGGAGGCUUUGAAGCAGGUACGCCAGUAUUUGUGGAGCCGCUGUUGAAAUACGACCCUUUAUUUGUUUGGAUUCUAACCCGUGGAUACGGGGACAUUGAUUGGUGGGUAGUUUGACUGGGGUGGUCGCCUCCAAAAGCGUAACGGAGGCUUCUAAAGGUGCCCUCCGGCCGAUUGGUAACCGGCCUUAGAGUGUAAUGGCAUAAGGGCGCUUGACUGGGAGACUGACAAGUCGAUCAGGUAGGAAACUAGAGCAUAGUGAUCCGGUGUUUCCGUAUGGAAGGGACAUCGCUCAAAGGAUAAAAGGUACUCCGGGGAUAACAGGCUGAUCCCUCCCAAGAGCUCAUAUCGACGGAGUGGUUUGGCACCUCGAUGUCGGCUCGUCACAUCCUGGGGCUGGAGAAGGUCCCAAGGGUUGGGCUGUUCGCCCAUUAAAGUGGCACGCGAGCUGGGUUCAGAACGUCGUGAGACAGUUCGGUCUCUAUCUAUCGUGGGCGCAUGAAAUUUGCGUGGCUCUGACACUAGUACGAGAGGACCGUGUUGGACAGACCUCUGGUUUGCCGGUUGUGCCGCCAGGUGCAUUGCCGGGUAUCUAAGUCUGGAUCGGAUAAGUGCUGAAAGCAUCUAAGUACGAAGCCGGCCACAAGAUUAGAUUUCUCAGGGUCGUUGUAGACUACGACGUUGAUAGGAUGCAGGUGUAAAGAUGGAGACAUCAAAGCCGAGCAUUACUAAUUGCCCGUUCACUUUCCU